CGGAUUGUGAGCUCUAGUCAGUUUUGAACGAACGACCAGACGCUAAGGUCAGUUCAGUCGCGCGGGUCUCAUUCUUAAGGUGAAGAACUUUCCGAAGAGAUUUGUGAAGAAAGUGUGGCGUGAAUUUUGAAUAAUUUUACGUUGUAUACACAUUGGCGUGGGUUGUUGGUGCAAAGUGUUUCCAAGGAUAAUUAAAUUCAACUGAAUUUGGAUACAAAGGAAUAAUCAUCAAGCUCCGUGGUUGGAAUUGGUUACGACGUAGAAAGGAUCGUUCUAAAGAAAAGUCGUCAAGGAUUUUAGAGGGAUCGUAUUGAAUUUGCGCCAUCUCAAAUAUUCUAGAUAACCGCCGCCAUCGAACGACCGAGAUACAGACGAAAUUAAAUACAAAUUCAAAUAAUACAAACACAAACAGAAACGAGCAACUUAUUUUCCAGGAAAAACUUCCCGAAAGAUAACUAGCCGAGACGAAACAAACAGAUACGUACAAACAGAAAGCCGACGAAGACCAAACUUUAUUUUGCAUCAACGAAAACUAAAGAAGCGGAGACAAAGGCAAAAGUAAAUUUUCUUUUGGGAAAAUUACAGAAAGAGUGGAAAUUCGUCUCCAUCGCUAUCGCUUUUCCGAGAGCGUACUUGAGUCUAAUUAAAAGCGAGAGGUUGUGUCCUGGGAGGCAUUUUCAUCAUCCGAAAAUCAUCGCCUUGUUUCCAUAAACUUCUAAGGAAACCUCAAUCAAGGACAUAGCCUGGGAAAGUGGUUAUAGAGCACGGAGCACAGGAGGACGCGGAUUUCUCUUGAAAAGAUUUCCAGCUUAUCGCAACAUAUCAACAGAAUCGUCCUGUAAAGGAGGUCGAAGCGCGGGCAAUUACGAAAUCGAAACAUAGUCACGCGGCGUGGAAGCGAGGACGAAGGACGGGAAUAUCGCAACGCGACGUGCACCACUAAUUGAUCGAAACGUGUCGUAGCUGCUGUUCGAGCGUAUCCUCGCGUACGUUGAUGUAAUGUUUGCCUUAAGAAGGUAAUAUCCGGUGAAAAGACUACCUGCUGGUGGAGGACGAUUCGACGACGACGUAUUAAGGCGAAAGGAUUACGACUAAUUGGCGUUUCAAUAUGCUGAUGAAUUGGAUUAUUUUCGGAUUACUAUGCUUAGCUAGCAGUCUUGGCGGCAUUGGGGUGCGAGCGUACGAUCAUGAAAUAUCGGAGCAACGCGACCACAAAGUUUUAUUGUCCUGCCCGAUCGAUUUUAAAGCAUGUGGAGAAUUGCAUUCUGUGAAAUGGUUCAAAGGAAACACAAGGAUAGCGGUGGUAUCGGGUGAUGGAGAGGUGGCCACGGUGAAGGAUGAAUACAUGAGCAGGAUGUCAAUAGACCAUUCGCCGAAGGGUCCUGUUACGAGUCUGAGUAUAAAAUCUCUUCAGAUAGCGGAUGAGGACGUCUACACUUGUGAGAGUACGUUCUUGGAGCCGAGGGAGUCGUGCGACACAUCGGGUGUGUACCGGAUCGAUCUGAAGGUGGAAGUUCCUCCGUCUGCUGUGCAUAUACUCGACGAGAACGGAAAAUUCGUGAAGAAUGGGACAAAGUAUGGACCGCUCCGGGAAGGUCAUAAACUAAAAUCGAUAUGUGAAGUGAAAGCUACACGUCCCGUGCCAACUGUUGCAUGGUAUCGGGGUGGAAAACGCUUAACAGAUUCCCUCCACGUGGAUGAACAGAACGGACUGUUUUAUGUGAAAUCCGAACUAUUGCUGAUAGUGUCUCGCCUUGAAUUGGGCAACAAUAUCGAAUGCCGCGUGGAGUCGCCAUCCUUGGAUGAUGAAAUUAUUACCAACUAUCUGGCUUUGGAUCUUGAAGUACCGCCAACGAGUAUCAACCUAACUGGCGUCGAGCACCAUACGGUUCAGGGAACUAAUGUUCUACUUGAGUGUAAGGUUCAUGGAGCUCGGCCUGCUGUAACCAUGGCAUGGUUCAAUGCAUCACAUGAGAUCGAUAUCCGACAUUCUGAUGCAGUUCAAAUAGAAACAAAGUCGAUUGAACAACGCGACGGUACCUAUGAAACAAUUAGCGAUUUAAAAUUCGUGGCAACACGUUACGAGGACGGCCUUAAAUUUCGAUGUGAAGCUCAGAAUGUUGUAAUGCGGGACAAUAAAGAUAAACCAUUACACGAAAGCUUAGUCCUAGAAGUUCUUUACCCACCUGUAGUGUCGGUGAAACCAGAGAAUCUAACAGUUCAGGAAGGACGAGAAGUUUUGCUAUUCUGUGACUAUGAAGCGAACCCAGCAACAUUACAAAGCGUGAAAUGGUUUCAAAACGGAAAACUACUCAACCUCGGCGAAUCCAACCGCUACGAGGGCGGUAAUCCUGAGCACACAGCCCUGCUAAUAAAGGAAUCGACUCGAUAUGAUGAUGGCGUGUACACCUGCGAACUAGCGAAUAACAUCGGGGCGGAGACGUCGGAUAACGAGAUCUAUUUGGAAGUUCAAUUUCCACCAGUCGUCAAUCUAACCAUGGACCCGGACUCUCCAAUGAUUGAGAAUGAUGAAGGGAAUGUGACGCUUUAUUGCAACGUCUUGGAAGGAAAUCCGCCAACUUUGAGCAAAGUUCGAUGGUUCUUGGGAGGCGAGCUCCUUAAAGAACUGCCGGAGUGCAAUGGGGAUGGCAGCGAUGAGUUGUGUAACAUCGAUCCAAGCCGAUUACUGCUGCAGAACAUUGGACGUCAGUUCCUGGGAAACUACUCAUGCGAAGGAUUAAAUUCUGCUGGUUGGGGUGCCCGCAGCAAGGAAAAUGAGCUGAUUGUGUACUACGAGCCGGGCAAUGCCACCAUCCGCCACAAUCCGCAGAUUGCAGUGAAGAGGAAAAGCGUGAGUUUUACUUGUUCAGUGGAUGAUCCGGGAUUUCCUGCAGCUACCACGUACCAUUGGUUGCGGGGCGGACGGGUUGUGCACGAAGUUACUUCCAACCUUUACACAGUGGACCCGGUGGGCCUGGACUCGCGAACCAACUUCACAUGCUAUGCUUUCAACGCUGGCGGAAGUGGAAAUUCCGCAACAGUCUUAUUGGAUGUUCACGCUGCUCCGGCUUUUAUCAACCCUCUAAUGCCUUACUCGGGAGUUCUCUAUUCAACCGGUAAUGCCUCGCUAACCUGUCGAGUGGAGUGCGUUCCCGAGUGCUCCAUAUCGUGGUUCAAGGAUGGUGUAGGCAUUGAUGAGUCGUCAGACAAAUACUACAUAACUGAGAAAUACCUCGAAGCGGAUCCGGCUACUGGUGACUUCGAGAGCGUACUUUCCGUGCUGAAUUUUAAUAUGACCGCGUGGCCGCAAGGAAAGUUCGAUAUUUAUGCAGACAAUGCGAAUUAUUCCUGCGUUUCAACGAAUAAUAGUGCAGGACCAGGAGUGCGGAGCGCCACAUAUUUCGGCAUUGAAUAUCCACCGGAAAAUACAACUGUUUCCAAGGAUAUCGUUACUGUCGAAGAGGAUAACAUACCGGAGCGGAUAUUGUGUUCAGCUAAGGGAAAUCCGGAACCCUUGUACGAGUGGCAGUUUAAUGGAAGCGUUAUAACACGAGGUAGUGCCUUGAUAAUAAAUCACAAGAUGGCCAAGUCGGAUGCAGGAGCGUACGAGUGUUUUGCCUACAACAAGCAUGGAAGACAUUCAGCCGUUACGAAUAUAACAGUGACAUAUAAGCCAACAUGCGAGAUCGUGAGAAAGGAGAUCGAGGACGAGGACACCCUGAUUUGCACCGCAAUUGGAAAUCCGAAAGAGGCUGACUUUCACUGGUCGAUUAAGUCGGAAAAUGACUCAAUUGAUUUGGGAAGUGGAGAAACCGUAGGAGAGUCGAAUUACCUGGUGCUGGAGGACGAGUUCUCCGUGACGCGGGUUUACCGCUGCGUGGCGAACAAUUCAGUCGGGGCUGGACCCUACUGCCAGAUUGAAGUUGCCGGGCAUUUAUCUUGGUGGCAGAGAUGGGAUAAAAUCACUCUAAUUAUCCUUGUGGCAUCUGUACUUGGUGUUCUUCUAGCACUCAUCGUUCUCUGUUGCGUCAUAGUUUGUAUAUGCCGGCGUCGAAGAAGGCGUGAUAAAUUAAACAACAAGUCAUCUGCAUUGGGGGAUCCUUUGACCGAACCUGGCGAGUAUGAGAACCUACCAUUCCACGGUCUACAAACGGCACCAAAUAAGCAAAAAGAUCACGGCGACAUCACUAGACGGAGUAAUACGUAUAUUUACUAAUUUCGCUCUCAAUCCCUAAAUAAGUGACUAAGGACAUAUUCUGAGGGAAAAACUAGUUAAGCAAUAUCUUCACCGAACUUGUUGUAUCUAAUACGUGUAUACGAACUAAUUUACGCUCAUAUCUAAGUGAUUUUUGCCGAUAUAUCUACAACCGUAAACAGGUGUACGUGUUUUAUGUUUUAAAUUGUCCGAAAGUCCAUAUCCUUCCAAGUAGGAUGAGCCACUUAGUCCCGCAGAUCUAGCCGAUGAUCUCGACUAUGCCGACGUGGAUUACCGCUCAUAUGGCCCCAUCAAUUACAAGGCUGCUUCAAUCUAUGCUUUGGUUAAAAAGCAGAAGAAUAAGGACAAUGGUGCAC
Molecule: unclassified non-coding RNA, 4572 nt
Filed under: Hermetia illucens (black soldier fly)
Lineage: Eukaryota; Metazoa; Arthropoda; Insecta; Diptera; Stratiomyidae
Description: hemicentin-1, transcript variant X18
Source: RNAcentral